AACGAACGCUGGCGGCAUGCCUAACACAUGCAAGUCGAACGAGACCUUCGGGUCUAGUGGCGCACGGGUGCGUAACGCGUGGGAACCUGCCCUUAGGUUCGGAAUAACUCCCCGACAGGGGUGCUAAUACCGGAUAAUGUCUUCGGACCAAAGAUUUAUCGCCUUUGGAUGGGCCCGCGUUGGAUUAGCUAGUUGGUAGGGUAAAAGCCUACCAAGGCGACGAUCCAUAGCUGGUCUGAGAGGAUGAUCGGCCACACUGGGACUGAGACACGGCCCAGACUCCUACGGGAGGCAGCAGUGGGGAAUAUUGGACAAUGGGCGAAAGCCUGAUCCAGCAAUGCCGCGUGAGUGAUGAAGGCCUUAGGGUUGUAAAGCUCUUUUACCCGGGAUGAUAAUGACAGUACCGGGAGAAUAAGCUCCGGCUAACUCCGUG
Molecule: ribosomal RNA, 433 nt
Filed under: uncultured bacterium
Lineage: Bacteria
Description: partial 16S ribosomal RNA
Rfam family: Bacterial small subunit ribosomal RNA
Source: RNAcentral